Ictalurus punctatus (channel catfish) is the source of this 2247-nucleotide long non-coding RNA. RefSeq lists it as uncharacterized. The record is from RefSeq and is a predicted model, not a curated record. The transcript has 2 exons. NCBI's taxonomy places the organism in Eukaryota, Metazoa, Chordata, Actinopteri, Siluriformes, Ictaluridae.
CGGCUUGUCGUGGGAUUCGCAUGCAAUGUCUAGCCAGUGUUCCUGCUCCACUUCCUCCAGACUCACGCUGCCGGCUCCUGGGAGUCCCGUCACUCCGGCCUCAUCAGGCAAAAAGCUACUGCUCUCAUCUGUCAUGGAAACGCUGUCGUGCUCAGAGCUUGCUUGAAUUAGCCCAAUAUUGUGACAUGAAGACUGAGCUUCUGAAUUGUGAAUCUGAAGAGCAGAAUGAAGUUUUUCCGGCCAGAUCGGUUCUCCUGAACGUGGAGCCCAAAUGGAGUCGAGGAUUUGCUGUGGAACAUCCUCUUCCUUGCUGUAAAAUACAGAAUCGUCCCCUUCAGUCGUAAGCAGAGGCGGCUGAUGCACCGUGUCCUCCUGAGCUCCUCCACUGAUGACCACGUCUUUCUCUGGAGCGGUGUUGCUCGGAAUAUCAAGCGCACUCGUAAUAUCGGCCAUUUCAGACACGCUUUUUGUUUCCAUAUUUUUCCUUUCUCUCUCUUUAGCACAUCAGAAGUCUGGUCAAAAUGCUGUCCGUCAUGUCUGUUUCCCUCCGUCACACUUACAUCCUUCACACUUGCAUUCUAAUGACCAGUCUGUGACAGGCAGGGCUUUUGUACUCAUGUGUGAUGUAUUUCUUUAACCACUAGAGAACAGGGGAUUUGUAUCGACCCAAAUGAAUGGCCUUUUGUCUGCUGUUCCAUUACAAACAAACCGUUUGUCCUCGUGUUUUAAUCCUGCCCGAGGUAUUUUAAGGCCUGAUUAACAUUCUCAGUCAUGGAGGAUUUGUGCCUGAUUUUUUUUCUGUACCCCUGCUACGGCUAGCAAUUUUAUUACAUGUAAUUAUACACAGGACUGGAGCAUGAGGUAAAACAGUAACACACUGGGGCUGUAAGUAGCCAUAAUUAUACACAAUGGAACCGACCGCUUUUUUUAGGAUUAAUUAUUCAGGUUAAUUACAAACGAUGCACUGAUCUAGCACCAUGCGUUAAUAUCACGGCUGACACUGGGCUUAAACAUUGACUCGGCAUUGGACCGAAUCUCAUCCACUGAUCGUAUUUUAUUCUGUGAAUCAGUGGGGAAAAUACUCCUCAUCGGAGUAGGUACUCCUCGUCGGGACGUUAGUAUGUGUCGUCAUUUUAUUAAACCAUUAAGUCAUUUUGAAGCCCUGCUGUAAAUGAGUUUCUCUGAUGAUCCCAUUUGUAAAUCACACGACCCCAACCCGGGGUCAUGACCCCUAGAUUGGCGACCACUACUGUGGGCUUGCAUAAGUAUUCACCUCCUCAAACUUUUGCAGAUUGGAACUGAAUAUUACAACCUGGAACUGAAAUUGACUUAUUUCUGGUUAUGCCAAUGAAUCUUCACAAAAUAACACAUAAUAUUGGAUAUUAAAAUGUGUGUGUACAUUCCAUAUAAACUCCACAUGGAAGCAUGGUGGUGGUUGCACUAUAGUAACAGCUUCUCUGACUAAUGCAAUCCUUAAUUAGUCCCUGACUUUUGGUAGAUGAUGACUGUGACAUUUAUUUAUUUUUAUUUAUUUUUUUCAUUUUUAAAUAAUCAAACUGAUUGAUAUUUUUCCAGAACUUUAUCCCAGUUUUUUUUUUUUUUUUUUUUUUUUUUUUUUUUUUUUUUUAAAUUAUUCCGAAUGAUAGCUGCUUGGUGUUUAUGAUGCUGUUUGUUUAGGUGUGCAUUCUAAGAAAAUCUUGGGCCUUCAAGGAACAGGUGUAUUUAUGGUCUCUUUGAUUUUGUGGCUACACCUGCAUCAAAGAGUGAAACAUAGAAUAUGCUGUUCCAUUGGCCCACUGUAUGUGGGCUGCUGCAAAUGCAUGUGAUGUCGACUGGCACGACAGAUCUUUGACACUCAAAGCUCUGAUAAUGUUAAUGUUAUCAAACAUGGAAAUACAGGAUUGGGCCUUCUCUAUUAUUUAUUCUGCUUGUAAUGUGAAAAACUAGUAAAUAUUUCAGAUUGUAUUUUUAUGUCAUUGCAAUUUAAAUGAAUUACAAUUAAUUCAGGCACUAAGAGAAUGGAAACUUAUCCCAAUUAACCCUAAGCCUGUGCUACAGAAUUAGCUGAAAACAAUGAUGUUUUGGUUCGUUUGUGUGUUGUAGAUUUUGCGCCAACGUGUAUGCGAAGAAUUUGGUGUUUGUUUAAUGAAGAAAGAAACGUACAAUAAAACAUUUUGCGUCAUAUUAUAUUUCAGUUUUCUUCUUUUUGAGAUAUUAAGCCUUUGUGAUUAAAAAAAUAUAUAUAUA